GUCGCCUCCUAAAAGGUAACGGAGGCGCUCAAAGGUUCCCUCAGAAUGGUUGGAAAUCAUUCAUAGAGUGUAAAGGCAUAAGGGAGCUUGACUGCGAGACCUACAAGUCGAGCAGGGUCGAAAGACGGACUUAGUGAUCCGGUGGUUCCGCAUGGAAGGGCCAUCGCUCAACGGAUAAAAGCUACCCCGGGGAUAACAGGCUUAUCUCCCCCAAGAGUUCACAUCGACGGGGAGGUUUGGCACCUCGAUGUCGGCUCAUCGCAUCCUGGGGCUGUAGUCGGUCCCAAGGGUUGGGCUGUUCGCCCAUUAAAGCGGUACGCGAGCUGGGUUCAGAACGUCGUGAGACAGUUCGGUCCCUAUCCGUCGUGGGCGUAGGAAAUUUGAGAGGAGCUGUCCUUAGUACGAGAGGACCGGGAUGGACAUACCUCUGGUGUACCAGUUGUCGUGCCAACGGCAUAGCUGGGUAGCUAUGUGUGG
RNAcentral lists this ribosomal RNA (477 nucleotides) under Staphylococcus aureus. RNAcentral describes it as "partial 23S ribosomal RNA". It matches the Rfam family "Bacterial large subunit ribosomal RNA", at positions 2282 to 2758 of the family's 2925-position model. The record is from RNAcentral. Lineage: Bacteria; Bacillati; Bacillota; Bacilli; Caryophanales; Staphylococcaceae.